This 279-nucleotide ribosomal RNA is filed under the name uncultured bacterium. RNAcentral describes it as "partial 16S ribosomal RNA". It matches the Rfam family "Bacterial small subunit ribosomal RNA", at positions 506 to 784 of the family's 1533-position model. The record is from RNAcentral.
UGCCAUCCGCCGCGGUAAUACGGAGGGUGCAAGCGUUAAUCGGAAUUACUGGGCGUAAAGGGUGCGUAGGUGGUUAUGUAAGUUAUGUGUGAAAUCCCCGGGCUUAACCUGGGAGGGUCAGAUAAUACUGCAGAACUAGAGUAUGAGAGAGGGUAGUGGAAUUUCCGGUGUAGCGGUGAAAUGCGUAGAGAUCGGAAGGAACACCAGUGGCGAAGGCGGCUACCUGGCUUAAUACUGACACUGAGGCACGAAAGCGUGGAUAGCGAACAGGAUUAGAUA